GAUGAACGCUGGCGGCGUGCCUAAUACAUGCAAGUCGAGCGAACAGACGAGGAGCUUGCUCCUCUGACGUUAGCGGCGGACGGGUGAGUAACACGUGGAUAACCUACCUAUAAGACUGGGAUAACUUCGGGAAACCGGAGCUAAUACCGGAUAAUAUAUUGAACCGCAUGGUUCAAUAGUUAAAGACGGUUUUGCUGUCACUUAUAGAUGGAUCCGCGCCGCAUUAGCUAGUUGGUAAGGUAACAGCUUACCAAGGCAACGAUGCGUAGCCGACCUGAGAGGGUGAUCGGCCACACUGGAACUGAGACACGGUCCAGACUCCUACGGGAGGCAGCAGUAGGGAAUCUUCCGCAAUGGGCGAAAGCCUGACGGAGCAACGCCGCGUGAGUGAUGAAGGUCUUCGGAUCGUAAAACUCUGUUAUUAGGGAAGAACAAAUGUGUAAGUAACUAUGCACGUCUUGACGGUACCUAAUCAGAAAGCCACGGCUAACUACGUG
This 497-nucleotide ribosomal RNA is filed under the name uncultured bacterium. Its description in RNAcentral is "partial 16S ribosomal RNA". It matches the Rfam family "Bacterial small subunit ribosomal RNA", at positions 28 to 507 of the family's 1533-position model. The record is from RNAcentral.